This 1050-nucleotide long non-coding RNA is filed under the name Marmota monax (woodchuck). The record is from RNAcentral. Lineage: Eukaryota; Metazoa; Chordata; Mammalia; Rodentia; Sciuridae.
UCCAGGGUGGGGCAGAAGACUCGGAGGUGGUACGUGGCUCCCAGCCCAGGAGGGUGAGGCCAGCGAGCGUCAUGGACACGGUGGACCUCCAAGCACCAGGAAAGGACAGCGAGAGCAGCCCGGGCCCUGCCUCCAGCGUCCUGAGACACAGGUGGGCUGGACAGGACCCCUGCAAUCCCACCCGGCAGGCUGCUGUCCUCCACCUGAGCCCCACGGGCCCUGGACACCCCACCACAUACUCCCGGCCAGCUCCCAGGCCGGCCAUGCCUACUGGACCCACUGGGUUUGGACACUGGAGCUGCUGGCGGUCAGCAAUGGAGGGAGUAGUCCCCAGGUUGUCAGGCAGAGCUGGACACCCUCCACUGGGGCCAGGGGGCCCUGUCCUCACAGUGACCCCUCCAGAGGCCCUCAGGCCUGGGUGCUCCUGCAUGGCUGGCCUGGCCUGCCCUCCUGGCCUCGUCUCCCUCUUGCUGCCACACCCUGGCCACAGUCUCCUUACCCGGCUCUGUCUGGGGGCCCCUGUGUCCUGGGACCUGCUCCCUCUGGCUCCCAGCGGGGCCGAGUGCAGCCCUCUGGUCCGGCACCCUGACAGCUGCUGGAAACCUGCGGCCACUUGGUGAUCUGGAGGCCAGGCCAGGGCUUGGGGAUGGGGGGUUUCAGUCAAGGACCCUGGUGACACUUGGCCGCUUCUGGGAUGGGGCAGAGGGAUGCCCCGAGGGGCUGUGGGCCUGCUCUCUGUACUGUGUUGGGGUCUGAUGUUUCUCACAGGCCCUGGUAGAAGCCACCUGGGUUAGGACAAUGGGGACCAGCCCGUCUCCAUGGGCGAGUCUGGGGGAACACUGGCCCACAGAGGGUGCGCCGGCCCGGGCUGCUCAGGUGCUGGAGGCCAGUGGGACCAGCCCCGACACCUGGAAAGCCUGGGGUGGCCAGCAGUGACAUGGCCUCAGAAAGGCUGCUGAGGCUCCUGCCCUCCUGAGGGUCUCUCCUGUUGAGGGCCACAGCCGAGUCAGGAGGACGCAUGGCAUUUUUGCCAGAAGUAGUGGUUGAGAG